GUCUCACUGGACGCUUUCGAGAAUGAAAUACUUUCAGUGUAUUAUAUUGUAUUUCGAUUAUAUUAACUUUACAGUGUAUUCAGCUGAUUAACGGUGUGCUAAUGAAUUGUAACGAAUUGUAACGAUGUUGUAAGUGAAAUGGAAUAAACAACCGAUGAGCUGUGCUCAUUCGAGUUCUAGACGUUAACAAAACAAGUCCUUUAUUUUAAAACAUAUCAACUGGCGACGACAGGAUAAAAAAAAGGUGCUUUUUACAUAGUUCUACUAUUGUGUGGAAAAUCGUACUUUCCAUUGUGCAGUGGAUAGUGGCCAUCAUUUCGGAGGAAAUCCAUAAAAAAAAACGUAUACUUGCAAGUUGGGACCGGAAUUGAAAGAAGAGUAAGGUUAGAAGGAACGUUUUUGGACCUAAGAGGAGUGUUUUGGACCAUCCCGAGCCAUACUCUUGCGCUUGGUGCCCGUUUGUAAGCUGGUAAUAAUCGAGAAUCGUCUGCUAACUGGCACGAUACCAGCGGAACAAGGCAUUUGUUCGUUAAGCUGAAGAGAAUAUCCGGAUUACUGUUCGGACGAGUGCGACCGUGCGCCCAUUACGAUCUGUUUUGGAGUUGUCUCUGGCUAACUGGCUUGUGAAGGUUGAACACCGGAAGAUUUGGUGGAAAUUGGAAGCGUGCAAACCACUGCUCAUCGCACACAGAUCCGUCUGUUUAAUGACCCGGAUUCAACAAGACCAAACAUCUCGCUUCCUACGCCCAGCACACAAGACAUGGCCAUUUCAAGUACCUCUCCGGUUAAUAUCGGCAGUGAACAUCAUCGAGGCCCUCAAGAUGAUCCUCCCAAUCCGGGAGUCAAGCGUAAACGCGAGCAACAUCAGUCGAGCUCAGAGCUGCGACGGUCUAAGCGAAUAAAGCAGGUCAAAUCUGAUUCGGAUUUUGUAUAUUACGAUCGAUAGUAAGAUAUUUUGAAUUCCAUUAUAAUGUAAAGCCAAGUUCAUUCAGAAUCAAUUAUAGAAUCACUUCGGAAGGGGGAAGAAGUUGUAGUGUCUCACUGGACGCUUUCGAGAAUGAAAUACUUUCAGUGUAUUAUAUUGUAUUUCGAUUAUAUUAACUUUACAGUGUAUUCAGCUGAUUAACGGUGUGCUAAUGAAUUGUAACGAAUUGUAACGAUGUUGUAAGUGAAAUGGAAUAAACAACCGAUGAGCUGUGCUCAUUCGAGUUCUAGACGUUAACAAAACAAGUCCUUUAU
Long non-coding RNA from Aedes aegypti (yellow fever mosquito), 1239 nucleotides. RefSeq lists it as uncharacterized. The transcript has 3 exons. Lineage: Eukaryota; Metazoa; Arthropoda; Insecta; Diptera; Culicidae. The record is from RefSeq and is a predicted model, not a curated record.